Long non-coding RNA from Nymphaea colorata (pocket water lily), 1468 nucleotides. RefSeq lists it as uncharacterized. The transcript is spliced from 3 exons. NCBI's taxonomy places the organism in Eukaryota, Viridiplantae, Streptophyta, Magnoliopsida, Nymphaeales, Nymphaeaceae. The record is from RefSeq and is a predicted model, not a curated record.
UGAGUACAUUGUCAUGCUUCCCUUCUUCCCCGAUUAUGGAGUUCCCUAAUCUUGUGUUUAAUGUCUCUAAAGCAUGUCGAUAAUCCAGGACAUUCCUGCAGCUUUGUUAUAUACAUGCUUCUAAAGUAUAUAUGUUCCACGCCGUAUAAUGGAAACCUUGUCUUCUAACAGUCUUUUUCAAGUUGGAAUAUGUGUUCCACUAUUUAUGCCCAACUUGGAAUUUGCAUUGAGCAAACACUUUGUUGAAAAUGUUUGUCUGCUGAUUAUCUUUAAUAUAAUAUUUUGUACUGAACCAUUUUUUCUGCAACUUAAAUUUCCAUGCAUAGUAUGAUGUGUUUCGAGGAGUAGAUGGUGAGAAUCAUGCAUGAGAUUGCUUAAGUUUGCAGGUAGAUGCUUAAUCCACAGGACCGCAUGAGACCACAUGUCAUCAAGGACCGUAUUUUGCAUCUGCGCAGAAGGCUUCACUCUAAAUGGCUUUCCCAUUUUACGCAAUAGAGGAAUUGGUCAAUCAGAAGGAUAAUUUUUUUAUUUCAUAAAAUUAAUGUCUACAGAAAAUGAUAAUAGAUACAUUAUUGUGGAGUUAUAUUCUAUUUCUAGAAGCAUCACUACAGCUUUGUAUAAAUUUUCUAUUAUCAUCUGGCAUAGAUAAGAACGUAGCAUUUUAAAAGAAGGCUUAUCAUUGUCAUCGAGAAAACUUUGAACUGUCACAUGGACUUAGCAAGAAAUUGGUGGACCUGUAUCAACCCAGCAAGUCUUGCACACUCUGCAGUUGAAAAAGAGUGGGUGCAUGUUGACCACGCAGAUCCAGCUUUUCCAAAUGGUUCUCUACCUUGCAUUAAUAUUUUCUGAAAUGUGUCCUGCCCUUUGCAGUCUUACCCGCACUGCACCUUUGUUGUCUAAAUUCUGAUUUAUAGCCUCUAUUAACCUUUGAACCUACUAAAUUUGAAGUCUAAGCAAAAGUUGCUUCAAUUAUGAAUUACUUGGACAUUUGUACAUAGCUUUCGAAUCAUGGUUUCAUUAAUCCUUGAAGGUAGUCUGAACACUAGUUGCUUUAUUUCUAAAUCGUGUUCAUGGCAUAUAUUUCAAAAUUCUCCUUUUUUUGUGUGUGUCUCUUUCUGGUCUAGGUUGGGGUUGAAGCUUUUCGUUUUCAUUUAUUUUCAGAUUUGGUCCAAUAAAUUUGUUUUGGAGCACUCUUUAUGACCAAGCAAUGACACUCUUCUGGCCUGUUUGAAGGAUUUUUCUGGAUUUGCUAAUGCCACGGAUCAAGAAAAUGAUGUUCUACUUGAUAGUUGUUUCACUCUUCCAUACAAAUGUGUUCAAAUUGAUAGCAAAACCGAAGAAGGGAGGACUGGGUGUGAUCAGACAUACCUGUUCUGGAACCUGCAUGAGCCAACUCCCAGACAGGUUACUAAUUAAUAGUAUUCUUUCGAAGAAAAUUGUGACUUGGUGGCACAUUGUUGGCUCAGUU